RNAcentral lists this ribosomal RNA (574 nucleotides) under Hypocrella viridans. Its description in RNAcentral is "SSU rRNA". It matches the Rfam family "Bacterial small subunit ribosomal RNA", at positions 233 to 821 of the family's 1533-position model. The record is from RNAcentral. Lineage: Eukaryota; Fungi; Ascomycota; Sordariomycetes; Hypocreales; Clavicipitaceae.
UCUUCGGGAUAGGUAGUAGUUAAGGUGAUGGCUUAACUAGCUUAAAUUCUCGUAGUCGAAUCUGAAAGGUUGAUCGACCACAUUGGGUCUGAAAAAACCCCAAUGCAAGUAAGUACAGCAGUGAGGAAUUUUGGUCAAUGGCCUAACGGCUGAACUGGCAACUUGGAGAAGUGGCAAGUCUUAUUUUGAUUAUAUUAUAUGUAAUCUAUAAGAUUGUAUUAAAAUUGAAUAAAGCUUUGUUUAUAUAUUGAUAAUGACAGUAUAUAUAUCGUGUCUUGACUAAUUACGUGCCAGCAGUCGCGGUAAUACGUAAGAGACUAGUGUUAUUCAUCUUAAUUAGGUUUAAAGGGUACCUAGACGGUCAACAUAGCUUUUAGAAUGUUAGUAUUUGACUAGAGUUUGAUAUAAGAGGGCAGUACUUGAGGAGGAGAGAUGAAAUUCUGUUAUACCAAGGGGACUCGGUAAAGGCGAAGGCAGCCUUUUAUGUAAAAACUGACGUUGAGGGACGAAGGCACAGAGAACAAACAGGAUUAGAUACCCUAAUAGUCUUUGCAGUAAAUAAUGAAUGCCAUAG